RNAcentral lists this long non-coding RNA (26664 nucleotides) under Ananas comosus (pineapple). RNAcentral describes it as "long non-coding RNA (ACOM_LNC030370)". The record is from RNAcentral. Lineage: Eukaryota; Viridiplantae; Streptophyta; Magnoliopsida; Poales; Bromeliaceae.
UUUUUUGUUAAUAUCUUUAUUUUUCGUUAAAAAAAAGGUUUGCAGAAAUGGAGUCAACACUCAUGAAUAUGCUCUCCAAUCAUGGGUGCGAGCCCGACGUGUGGACGAUGAACGCCACCCUCCGAGCCUUUGGCAGCAGCGGCCAGAUCGAGACGAUGGAAAAGUGCUACGACAAGUUCCAGAACUCUGGCAUCUCCCCUGACAUCAAGACCUUCAACAUACUCCUUGAUUCAUAUGGCAAGUCCAAAAUGUACCAGAAAAUGGGUGCUGUAAUGGAAUACAUGCAGAAAUACUACUAUUCAUGGACGGUCGUUACUUACAACGUGGUCAUCGAUGCAUUUGGGAAAGCGGGGGACUUGAAACAGAUGGAAUACAUCUUUAGGUUGAUGAAGUCCGAAAAGAUCAAACCCAACUGCGUUACCCUUUGCUCGCUCGUUAAAGCGUAUGGAAGGGCAGGGGCUGUCGAAAAGAUAAAAUCAGUAGUGAGGUUUAUUGAGAACUCGGACGUGAUGCUGGAUACCGUGUUCUUCAACUGUUUGGUGGAUGCAUAUGGGAAGGCGGGGUGCUUGGCAGAGAUGCGGGAAGUGCUGGAGAUGAUGAAGACGCGGGGGUGCACGCCGGACAAGGUAACCUACAGUACCAUGAUCAAAGCAUAUCUUAGCAAAGGAAUCAACGAUCAUCGUGUUCAGGAUCUAUGUGAGCUGAGAAAUGGGGAGUCAUUAUAUUUGAGAGAGGAAUCUAAUUUGCACGCAUGAGGGCGAUGCUGUAGCAGGAGGUUUAUUUUUCCAUUGUUUAUGCUCUUUAGUGUGAGAGGCGAGCAGAGGAGAAAAUAAAGAAUCAUGAAAGAUGCCACCUUGACUCAAUAAUGCAAUUUUUUUGUGGUUUAAUUUUAGUGUUGAGAACAUCGAGCGGCAUUACUGGUUUUGUUGGCGGCAACAGAGGGGGCAACAGUAGUGAAUAAGUUAAAUAAAUGAAGAACAGCUUCACUGAUGAGGAGCCUGCUUCGGCCACCUAAUUUCUCAUCAAGCAUUAGAGCAUCAUCUGAAGAUGCUUUCGCUGCGACGGAUGUUUGCGAAGGGCCGUUGGAAUGGUUUGUUCGGGUGAAUUACCGGCGCGAACCUGGUGCAGGUGGAAUGGUUCGGGUUCGUCUCUUUGUUAUGUGUUUUUAUUUUAGCGGUUGGCUGUAACUUCUGUGGGGAAAGGAAGUUAUCUGUUACUGAAUGAUGUCUCAUGUAAUGAACUUACCAAGUUCAGGUGCAGGUUAUUGGACUGUUGAUUGUUUUUUUUACCCCAAAGGAUCCUUUCUUUUCUAUUCUUUUUUUCUCAUUUCACAUAUUGUAGUAAAAUAACCUCGGAAAAUGAGUUAUGCUCCGUUGCUUUUUGUAGAACCAGAAACUUUGUUCUUUUCACGCAAUUUGAUACUAGUGAAAAUCUUUUGCUUCGCUGCGGGUAAGUAGAUUAAGUUUAAUAUAAAUAAAUCAACCGUAAAAUCAUACAAAAUAAUUUUUUUUAGAAAAAAAAAUUUAUACUGAAAUCAAACGAUUGAAUUGCAAGAUAGCUUUCAAAUAAAAAGAUUAUUAAACCAUAAAAAAUAGCUCUCAAAUAGAGAAAUCAUCAAAUCAUGAAAUUCUUCAAGUGAAAUUUUUUUUUUCUAUAGGGUGGUUUUCUCAAAUACUUCUUUCGAAGUGCGAUAUACCUCUCAAAUACUUCAUCCUGAAAAGUUAAGAAGAAAGGUGAAAAAAUUUAUAUAAAAUUAAAAUUUAAAUCAAAUAUAUUAUUGCUAUUUUUUAUCUAAAAGCAAAAUUUUCAAAAAUUGUGCAAAUUCAAGAAAAUACCAAAAAUUUUAUGAAAAAAAUCUGAUUCGACGCCAAAAAAUUGCAAAAAAAAUUUCGAAAAAAAAUCAGAAACCUCAAUAUACCCACUUCCUUGGCCAUCAUCAAGGCCAAAUUGAUGUCACUAAGCCGUGCCCCGCGCCGCCCAAGCCUCUGCCGCCGUCAUCAUCAUCAGGCAAGAAGUAAAAAAUUAAAAAAAAAAAACGGGAAGAAGUAAAAAAAAAAAAAAAGAAGAGAGGAAUGUAAGGAUAAGCAGAAAAAGAGGAGAAGAGUUAACAAAAAAAAAAAAAAAAAAAAAAAAAAAAAAAAAAAAAAAAAAAAAAAAAUGACAUAGGCUUUUUUUUUUUUUGUUUUUUUGUUUGAUGAAGCUGCUGUCAUGUCCCCCGCUAAUGUCGCCUAAUUCGCCGUCUCCCCAUGAUCGUCGCCUGUUGCAGCAGUGACCGUCGUUGACGCCGCCGUCGCAUCGGCCGUCAUUGCCCCCAAGUCACCGAAGCCCACUUCAAAUUCCCUCACAUAAGAGAGAAAGAGUGUGCGGGUACUAUAGAAAAGAGAUGGGGAGAGAGAAGGGAGAAAGAGAGUAGGGAAGAGGGAGCGAGGGAAAGGGAGGGCCAGCUGUAGGAAGGAAGAGAGAGAAAAGGAAAGAGAGAAAGUGGGGCCACUUAGAGGGGGAGAAAUAGAGGAGAAAGGUGAAGAGAGAGAGAGGUGGGGCCGAGAGAAUGAGAGAGGGGAAGAGAGAGAGAUGGGGCCACCUUAGAAGGGAAGAGAGAAAGAGAGGAGUAAAAAGAAUUAUCGAGAACCCGUCACGUGGAAUAGACAAAUAUAGGUACGUCAUGUGUUUAGAAAGUACAUUCAAAUUAUAUAGUGUAAGAUGUUAGGACAUUGGAAUCAAUAAUUUGUAGCUGGUACCUCUAGAAAUGAUUUAAUUUUAUGGCUUAGAAAUUAAAAGUUAUUAUUAUUUUCAUAGUCAAUUUAAAUGUUCUAAGAUUUAUUUUACAAAGAAUGUCAAAUUCUUCUUAGAAUAUUAUUGAUAUUUUUUAAUUAUAUUUUUACCCAACGCCUUUGGGGAUCCAAAAGCUUUUUUUUAGUUAAAAUUUUAAGUAAUUCAUUAAAAAGUAAAGAUUGAUUAUAUUAUUAUAUAAUUUGAGAAAAUUAAAAAAAUAUUUUCACAUAAAGAAAAAAAGGAAAACGCAUAUAUCCUCAAAAAUAAAUAAAAGAAGAAAAUAAGGAUGAGUCUCCUAACCAAAAAAAGAAAAAAGAAAUAUAUUAAUUGGUCCCCAAAUUUAAAUAUUAUUUAACAAAUGAAUCAAGCUCAUGAACAUAAACGAUAAAGCUGGAAACAAAAUAUAGAGAACAUUACCAAAAAAAAAAAAUUUCAUAUUUUGUUUUUGUUCUGACUCCGAUUGGAACAAAAAGAAGAAUCAUCCAUAUUGGAAUACUUCUACUUCGAGACUUACCAAAUUCCUAUUUAAAGAAAAUUUAUAAAAUCUAUAUUGCCUGACAGAAGAAAAGAAAAGAAAAAAACAUGAGUGGCAAAAGAGAGUAGCAAGUAGGAGGUACACAAACUAGGCUAGGGCUACUAUACUCUUAUGAGUAUAGAGCCCUUCAUACUCAUAAGUUAUUUUCAAUGAUUGAGCUUUCGAAUCGACGAUCCAAUCCAUUAAAUAUGAUUUAGAGUAUUUAAAACUUCUAGAAAAUAAAUUUCGUAAUUUUUUGAAAUCAUAAUAAAGUUCAUCAAGCGGAUAUAAAAUGAACGGUCAAAAUUAAACGACGUCUUAAAAAUGAAUGCUCAGAUCCUUCAAUUUAAGAUCGGAGUUAUUAACCUUUAUCUAUGUAGUGAAUAUAAUUUUCUAUCAAAAAUUCAACUGAUUCAAUUCUUUUACACCGUUAAACUAGCAAAUAUCUCAUACCAACUGUUAAAAAUUGUCAAUUUUGUGACAUUUUGAUCGUAAGGUAAAUGAUGUUAAAAAAUUAUAAAAUUUGAUUUCUAGAUGUUUUAAAUGCUCUAGAUAAUGUUUAACGGUGUGGAUCGUCGAUUCGGAAGCUCUAUCAUCGAAAACAAUUUAUGAGUACGAGGGCGAUCGUUCUCAUAAGAGUAUAGCAGCCGAACUCCAUAAACUAAAUAAUUAUAAUAAAAAUUUGAGAGAAAAUCAUUAUAUAUAUAUAUAUAGAGAGAGAGAGAGAGAGAGAGAGAGAGAGUCCGGCUGGGAUACUAUUGACAGCACCAAGCACUUGUGCUAUCGAGUUUUCCGCCGUUAGAUUUAACUCUUUGAUUAUUUUCACUCGUUCGAUUAUACUAUUCAACCAACAACUCACUCAACCCUAAGGGGCCUACAUCAUCCUAACUGUACAUUUCUUUAUCCAAGGGCCGAAAACCUAAUAGCACCAACAGGUUGGUGUUGGAUAUAUUGUUAUUGGAUAUUUUGUUAUAAUAUAAUCCAAAUAAUAUGUUCACAUACAAGCCCAAUAAGUGAAAGCGUAUUAAGGCCCAUAUCUCUGGAGCCCAAUAGCUUAUUUAUCAAAUCUAGGGUUUCCUACGCUGGAGGUAACACUGUUGAGCGUUCCAAACUUGACGUCUCUUGGUGUAAUACUUUAAGCACCCAAAAACCCUAACCUCCAACAAUCUUAAAGUAUUACGAUCCUAUAUCGGAUUUGAGCGAGUAAGUUAUCGAUUCGAAGAUCUCGUCAAGACGAAUUCACCGGUAUAAUUUAUUUUCGAUUUCGACGAUCGGAUUGGCCGGGAUCUGAGUUUGAAAGUCAGGCGGCGGAAUUCUUUGAUUCAAAAAUCCAGAAAUUACAGCCAAUUUCAGAGGGUGAAACCACUUGGGUUCUGUUCUACUCGUCGAUACGAACGUUUUGACUGGUUACUCGUCUCGAACGGAGGUCGGACGACGAAGUUACGGCCAUCUGAAGUUUUCAGCAGUUUCCGGCGACGAGGGCAGUUCAUCUUAAGGUUUUUGGGCACUACGGAUCCAAUUUUGGGUUUGUUUUUGGCAAAUUCCACCUCUACAAAGCACUUUGAUUCAGAUCAGGGGCUUUAUUCAACUUUGCGAGAUCUGCGGACUACAAGGUGCACUCUUUCUAACACUUUGCUCUGAUUAAAUGGCAAAGCGUAGUUCUUUUGAUAUUAUAAAAUUGCAAUCAUUUGAUGUUACUGAAUUUCAUGGUUGGAAAUUACAUGUUCAAUUUGGCAUGAAAGAACAGAUGGGACUGGAUGAAUUAAAGAGGUAUAUUCACAUUGAGGAUCAAAACAGUACUAGAAAGAAUUUAGAACAAGUAGGACAACAAAAGUCAGUUGCCAACUUAGUUUCACACUUCAAUAAACCUCAGAAAAGAUCCAAGUCACCAAAAGGUGAAUCUUCUUCACAGCUAGAGGUCAAAAAGACUAUCUCCAAAAAGAAAAAGAAAGAAAAGUGCCAUAACUGUGAAAAAUGGGGUCACUGGGCAGCAGAGUGUAGACUACCAAAGAAGCCAAAGAAUAACACACCACAAAGUGAGGCUAAUAUGCUAAAUAGUGAAUCUGAGCCUCAAGCUUUCAUUGGAAUGAUGAAAAUUGGAAAGGCUAGUAUUUCUACUGAGUGGUGGUUGGAUAGUGGCACUACUUGUCAUGCUACAAAUGACAAGAACCUACUCACAGAGGUCACAGAAGUGAAAGACACCGUAGAAAAUUGCAAUGGUGGUGAGGCAGAAGUGACUCAUACUGGAACUGCAAAUUUGGUGCUUUCUUCAGGUAAAUUACUAACUCUGAAACAUGUUAGAGUAGUACCUUUACUUAAAAAGAAUUUGAUAUCUAUGAGCUUACUUGAUAAAGCUGGUAUGUCCUUUUCAACUAUGAAUGGUAGAGUAACCUUAUCAGUUAACUCAUGUUAUUUUGGUUGUGCAUUCAUGGUUAAUGGUAUGUAUAGGUUGAGUUUAGAUACUGAUAGCAAAAACCAUGUGAGUUCUAUUCUGAUUGAUCCAAAGUUGUUGCACAAUAGACUUGGACAUGUGAACUACAGGAAAAUGCAACUUCUAGCUAAAACUCACAACAUUCCAUUGGAUACUUCUAUUCGAUUUGACAAAUGUGAAGUGUGUGCACAAGCUAAGAUCACUAGAAAACCUUUUAAAAUGGUUUCUAAAAGCACACAACUUCUUGAGCUAAUACAUUCUGAUCUUUGUGAUUUUAGAAAUUACGUCACUAGAGGUGGUCGAAAGUAUUUGAUAACAUUCAUAGACGAUUUUUCUAGAUAUUGUCAUGUCUAUUUGUUGAAAUCGAAAGAUGNUAGAUACAGAGAGAGAGAGAGAGAGAGAGAGAGAGAGAGAGAGAGAGAGAGAGAUAGAUGAGUUAGAAUAUUAUUGGUAGCAAAUAGGCUCCGUUGCCACUCAUUUGUUUUGAUGAUGGAGCCUUCAAUUUGAGAUUUGCAGUGUUGAAUAUGAUCUAUACCACUUGAAACAUCUAGAAACCAAAUUUUAUGUUUUUCCGAUAUUAUUCUCUUGUCCAUCAAGUGGAGACAAAAAUAAACAAUGCAAAAUGAAUAUCCUUUAAAAGUGAUAAUAGGAGUCAUGUAAUCAAGAUCAAGAGUAUAGAUCACGUUUUAAAUAGUUUAAAGAAUUUUCUAAUCUAAAUUCAAUUUAUUUGGAUAUCUUUACGCCGUUAAAUGAAAAAAUGUCUCACAUUGACCAUUAAAAGGCUAAUUAUAAAAAAAAAUCUCUCUGUCAAUACCCGUUUUUUCACUUUUUCCUCCUGUCAUUUAGAAACCUAUACUUUGUCCCCUUGAAAAAUAAAAAAUGCUCACAGUGGGGUACAGUGUUAACUGUGAUGAUAAAAUAACCAAAUUGCACCUCACCAUCUUCAUCUUCUCCCCAAUCUUGCUCAGCCGUCGUCUUUUCUCUUCCAUUCUUCGUGCCUCGCUCAACCGCAGCUCCGACUCUAUUUCCUCCAUAUGCUCCCCACUCCUCUUGCACACUCGUCGCCCCUCCAUUUCGGCGAUGGUAGAGAGGAGAUUAGGGUAGGUAUGGACGAAGAGGCGGGCGAGGGUGAGGGCGAGAUGGCAAAGGAGCGCGAGAGCGCGUGUGUAGGCACAGAUGGAGGGGUGGGCGAGCGCGAGGCGGCGGAGGAGAGCGAGGUGGCAGAAUCGGGCGAGGCCACAUGGGCGGCGAGGAAGGAAGCAGCAAUGUUGAGAAGAGGAGGCUGAGGGUAUUUGGGUAUAAAAAAAUAAUAAUAAGAUAUAAAUGGAACUCUAAAAUGGAAUAGUAACGGCGGGGGCUAAAGUGAACAUUUCUUAUCUUUCAAAUGGGCAAAGUGUAGAUUUUUAAAUUACAGGAGGGGAGAGUUAAAAAAGCAGGUAUUGACAAAGAGGGUUUUCUAUAAUUUAUGCUUAGAAUUAUAAAUUUUAAAACCCUUUGAUCAAUAGGGUAAUGAUAUAAAAAAGAUUUAAAAUUGAUUUCUAGAUGCUUCAAGUGGUAUAAAUCAUAUUCAAUGGUGUUGAUCAUCAAUUUGAAACUUUCAGCUUCUAAUUUUGUUAGAACUUUCUCUUUAGAGUUGGUUGGGAGACUCAAGAGCUCAAAAGACAUCUUCGCUGAGGUAUUAACAAGCAAAGGUGAGAAAUAUCACCGAAAUAGAUUUGAUUUCUCCUCUGUCUAAAUAAUUCCUAUUUCCUUGUAUGUAGCUUAAACCUCAUAAUUUUCCUCGGUAAGAAUGGAUUAAAUCUUUGAUGGAUUUGUAUAAAGCAAGGUUUGGAAAUUUAUUAGGGGUUAUGAGUAUAUGACCUAGCACGUAAAUGCCUUCACCUCUAUUGUAUACCUUCUUUUUUUUUUUUUUUUAAGAGAUAGAUAGCAUGCCACCCGCUUCGUUUUAUUUCUUUUAAGAAGUAAACUUAGCUAGAAAUGUGAAUCAACUAGGAUUCGAACUUGGGACCUCGGGUAUCAACCACCAAGCCCUUUGCCACUUACGUCAGGAACGGUCGGUUGUAUGCCAUAUUAUUAUUAUUGUAUUCUUUGUAAACAAGUAGAACACUAAGUUAUUCGAGCAUAUGGACUUUGCUGACAUAAUGGUGACACUUGACAUAGAAGAAAACUUUUAUGGUAUCAUUUGGUUCGAGGAUAAGCAAAAAGUGGGUAUUCCGGGGAUAGGUAUAAAUUGAGGUAUAAGCGGGAAUUAGAUCAAUUUUGCGUUUGGAUGAAAAUUUGGUUAUUCCUGAAAAUAAGAAAAAUAGCAUUUGGUUAGGUAAGAUGGAAUAAGAAUUAAAGUGGGUGGUUAUAAAUAAAAAAUAAUAAUAUUAUUCUUUUCUUUAUAUUAGAAUUUGAAUUUUUAUAUUUUAUAUUUAUAUUUUAAAAUUUAAAAUAAUAUAUAUUUUGAAAUUAUAAAUUAAAAAUUAAGUUUAAAUUUAAAUUUUGAAUUUAUAAUUAAAAUUUGAGUCCGAAAUCAGAAUUAAUAAGUAGGUUUUAGUUACUUCUGAUUUUUUGAUUCACGAAAAUCAAAAUAUUAAUUUUAAAAAUUAAAAAUUUUAAUUUUUAAACUUACGAAAUUUAAAUUUUAUAAUAAAUUAAAAAUUCUCUCACUCACUCACACUCUCAUACUCUCUCUCUCUCUCUCCUCUCUUCACGGGUGGAACAAGCUGGGUUAUCCCAGCUUGUUCCACCUUGAGGUGGGAACACUAAUUCCCUUCUUAACGGGCUAUUCUAGUUCUCACCCCUUAACAGGCUAUUCUAGAAUAGCGCGUUAAGGAGGGAAUUAGUGUUCCCACCAUUUUUUGUUUGUAUUUGGAGGAUAAGGGUGGAAUAAGCCCUUUAUUCCACCCUUAUCCCCCAACCAAACAUAGCCUAUUAGGGGAUAAAUAUAGUGGUAUAUAGAUAAAUUUUAAGAACUUGUUUGUAAGUGGCAUGUAAACAUAAAAAAAAAAAAAACCUCAUGAGACAGGCUCUAAAAUUGAUUGUGACCUGGGGUAUAAAGUAAGAGAUAAACUAAGCUAUGACCUUCCGAAAGAGCCAUUAUGAAAAGUCUCAAUUACAUUUGACUGCUUAUUCCUAUAUUGGGGAAAUCUAAGAUUCCCGACCUCUUGUGCUUACCCAUUGAGGUGGAUCACCAUCAUUUUCGUCUCUCUAUGAGGUGUUUAUAAGUGAAUUGAAAUCGGACCUUCGAAUCGGCUAGAGUAAGGUAAUGAUAUGAGUAGAUCUUUUCUUGGACAUUAACUUAGCAACAUCUAACUUUGGCACAUUAGCAUCUUGAUAAAGGCAUGGUAGUUGCAUGCCUUCUUAUAUAUGCUUUCUUUUAUUAUAACAGCGGUUCCUUUUACUUGUUACCGUACUACUUAUGCCUCUUUUGAACCGAGUGAAUAUAGAACGCCACUUUCGACGGUUGCAUCCAUUAAAAAUUUAUUUCAAGUCUCGCUGCUUGUUAUUGAUGCUUUUAUAGAGCCAUCCACGGCCGGCGAGGCUCGUGACCGCCGUCAAUAUCACUUCUGUACACUAUGAUAUUUAAAUAUUUUUGGAGAGGUGUAAAGCUUGAUAAUAGAAGUUACAUCUCCGCUGAAAGAACAGAGCUCCACAAGGAGGAAGACUUGCAGUGCCGAAACAAAAACACUAGUGAAGGAAGAGUGACAAGUACGUGAAAUUCCAGCAUAGCCUGGCUCAUUACAUACCAGAAUAACUAAAAAUGCAGCAACAGUAAUGAUCUAACUUCAAAGACAACGAACAGCUGUGAAAGAUAUCACUUUCUUAAGAUCCCUCGAUCAAAUAUAAGAUCCUUCUCCGUAAAGGAUUAAACGCUUCAUCAAACCACCAAAUUAUGUAAAUACUUGCACACGUAAGAUGCCGAAACUCGAUUAGACCGAGCUUUCCUUGAGAUCAAAACACUUGAAUGGAAAAAAAGAAAAGAAAAGAAAAGAAAAGAAAAGAAAAAUUAAAUUACCUGCAUGCAGAAGCGGCAAACAGCAAACAGAAAAUUGUCUAGCCACCUACUCCACCUCUACAGCAUUUGCAAAGGUGAUUUUCAGUCUAUUAUAACUAAACCUUCCCUUAUUCCUGUACAAGAUCAUCUACAUUUCCCCCACCAAAUUUCUCAAUCAAAUAUACACGACACACCGCUCGGUAACUAAUAGAAUGCGAACACAAAUGUCCAAUAGCAUUUGCAACUCCUCUAUGAACGACAACUAUGUUUAAAGUUUAAAAGUCGAGAUAAUUGUAUGCAUGCCGCCUUUUGUACUGAAGCAAGCUGGCAUAUACCCGAUCCCACACCCCAACAAAGAGAGACUCGUCGUCUGGACUCAGAGAUGCUCCCGAAAUUUCGCCAAAGAAGUCCAGCUCUUGCCGCUUCUUGUAGUUGGCGGCCGUGUCGUAGAUGUGGACAAAGUCGGCAGGCUCCGCGAAGAACAUGAACCGUCCGUCGGUCGAGUAGCGGAUGGACCGGAUUGCACCCAAGUUGCCCUUUAGGACGGCCAGCGAAGACGACAGGUUCCGCACAUCCCAAACACGGCAGGUUUUGUCUUGAUUCCCAGUGGCAAAACUGCGGCCGUCAGGAUGCCACGCUGAAGCAAAUGAAUAGUCAAGAUGCCCUACAAGCGUUGAGAUCCCCUGUGCAUCAUACAGAUAAUUGGUUCUAGAUAUUAGUCGGCAGUGUUAGAUAUUAGUUGGCUGUUCAACCCAAAGCCUUUUGCAUAUUAGCUUAGGUGGAUGUGCGACAUUGUUUAUUCUUUCAGCUUUCAGUUUCCUCCAGUUCCCAUGUAAUUGAUGGGACAAAGGGAUAACAGACCAACAUAGGUGCAGACAUCAAUUCGAUAUGGAAGUGAGUCGUUGGUAUGGCGUAGCCCAACAGCAUUGUAUAUAAAGGGAUGCCCUUGCUAAUUUUUUUGCUAUUACGGAUUGUUUGUAAAAUGACAAGUUUUUUAUUCUGUUUAACAACAGAAAACAAAUAUAUGGUAGUAAACUUUUCUUGCUUUAAUUACUAUUUAUUGUAAGAUGAGUUUGCAAACUAACCAAAGGGAGUGAAACGUGUUGAAUAGUAUACAUCUAAUCAAACUUCCAAAUUCUGAUUCUGGCAAAGCCAGUUUAGAUCUCCCUACCCUUAUUGAAUCCGGAUUCUAUCUUGAUGCUUCUAAAUAUUUUUUGGUCGAGUCUGAUCAGUUUGUUCUUUUGUUCUUCUCAGUCAUACUUAUAUGCAUUUUAAGACAACUAAGGAAAUAUCCGAGUUUCAACUUGUUUCUUUAUCCAUAUUUUUCAAGAACUAUAUCCAUUCUAAUACCAGUAGUUAAAAGAUGUUAAAAAAUAUGCUUUAGUCUCUAUCUGACUUGCUUCCAACCCAUUCACCCAACUAACCAAGAAUAACAAGAAUAGCUCAUCCCUAUACACCUUCAAUAACACGGAACUUUAACAAAAUAAAUUUGAGAUAAAAUAAUAAUAAUAAUAAGCAAUAGAAAAUGAGCACUUAGUUAUAGUAAAGGGCAAGAAACUGAAACUUUGGAAGGGUAAGGAAACAAGUACCUUGCCAUUUCCAGCAUCCACAAGCAAUCCUUCGCAAUCAUCUCCCACCACUGUAACAAGCUUUCUGUCUGGACUUAUGGAUGUGUGCUGCCGUUAAACAAAAACCAAAACACGAAAUGAAAUUGCACAUAAUCAGCAAUGCCAGCAAGACUCGGAGUAGCAAAAGAACCAAAAAUACUUCAUCAGGUCAAAGAUUGGUAAACGCCACUCUGCUAUUACCGGGUGAAGAGCCUCAAGAAUUUUACUAUCAACGCUUAAAAAAGCAGAGAACUCACAUUCACUGACCACGGGAAACGGAAGUGAUUCAAUUGCUGAAACCUUUCUACAUCGAACUCGCGCACACAACAAUCAUUAUUGGAUACCAUAAAGCGGAUAUUGCCACUGCGAUAGAUAAUUUUGAACAAGUCAGCUUUGUGAAAGAGCCCAUCUUUUUAACAGCCAGAGUGAAACUGUUUUUUACCUCAAAGCAUUGUAUAUGUCUAUAGCAUUGGUGAUAGCAUUGUCAUCAAACGUUGUCCUCGUACAGAAGCUAACACCUGGCCGAUCCAAUAGCUGCAUCAGGAAUAUAAGGUAAGUUCAAUUAAUAAAGAUGCAUAAUGAUUUUAAUUAAGCAGCAAAUUUGGAAUAAUUGUAAAAGGUGCUAUUGCUGUCAAGAAAUGUUCCAUCCAACCACAGUUUCGCAAGUAAUGAAGAAGAGUAUACUUGUUACUGUAACAAAAUCUAAGGCCCCGUUUGUUUGCAGGAUAAAAUGGGAAUAGCCCAUUUUAUCCUUGCUAAUUCACCCAAACAGUGAGAAAGUUUGUGGGUUUAAUUUAGCUGGGUCUUAACGGUUAUCCAAGGAUAACCCGUUAAGACCAAUUCCUCUUCACCCACGGAAUAGCCCACUUUCGCUAGGGUUAUCCCAAGGGCAAGGGUUGGAAAAUUAGGGGGUGACUCUUCAUCACCUCCGUUAAUGCGCGAUACCUACCUUCCUCUUUGCUCAUUACUCCUUUGCUGCUCUCCUGCCUCCUCGCGUCGGACGCCUUCUUCCUCCUCUCCACUUCUCUCGACUCAAUCUGCGGCGACCAUAAUCAAUAAGCGUUGGUAAUCCCUCUCUUAACUUGCUUUCUUCCUCUCUACUCCUCUGGCAGUCUCUCUCAACUACUGCUAUCAAUGAGGAAGAUCUCACCUGAGAUCCAUCCUCAUCCCUAACUCAUCUCUCAAACCCUCCGAUAUGAAUGGUAAUAAUGGCUACUUCCUCCUCUCAACAAACAUAUGGGCUUGUGAUGUACGAAAUCUCCUCCUUGCUUCUUGCCGACUACACUAUGUUGUCAAGUCGCCCAUUAAGUGCGACAGAUAUCCUCGCAAGUAAAAGGCAUGAAGUAGUUGUGCCCCUUUCCUCUUUAAAUCGGGUGGGACUCGAAGGUAGUGCUUCUCUUCACAACUUGCUUCAAACCCUAUCUCUGUUACUAUUUUGUUGGCUGUCAUUGUUGGACUCGAAUUGUUCACCGUUGAAAUUUUCAGCCUCUUUCUUAUCUCAUCGAGGUGAGAUUUUAUACGAUUAUCUUCUACUAUUAUCUAUUUUUGUAGAUUUGCCUUUGACAUUUUCUACUAGUUGAGGAUACUGUUUGUUGUUUUAUACAAGUAGAGCCUAGCUUUUAUAUACUCAUUACUUUACAAUUCAACCACGGAUCAAAGUAUGGUAAGAUAUUUAACAUAGCUACAAAUUGGACAAUAUGAUGAAUAGCAGACAACUCUGCUAUAUAUAUGGACGCCAAGUAUGCCGAUUUCAAAGAAGCUGGCAACAUCCAUAUUAGAACUUGUUUGGAGGGAAAGUUUUUUAAAAAAAUUAUGCAAUGAUGUAGGGAAAGGAUAAUUACAUAUCCAUGUAGGGAAAGGAAAAUUAUGCAAAAUCGUUUGAAAAUCUUGAAGCGUCAAUAUUUGAUAUAUCAAACUUUAGCCAACAAAAGUGGAUGUGGGUCAGAUUACACACAAAAUAUUCCAACUGCCGGUGACCCUAGUGAUUGGGAUGCCAUUAUAGCGGUUAUGUUUUUCAUUUUUGACCAUUUAUCUUUUUUUGUAAACCAAAAUUGUUUCUUUUUGUAGGUAAACAUUUGCAUAUCAUCUAUGUUUUUUUCAUUUAUAGGAAAUCCAGCUUACGUUAAGUGCCAAGACAAACCAUUUACGGCAUAUCAAUCUAUUGAAUUCUUGACUGGAAAAGGUACAGCAACCGGCAGGUAUGGAUUUACUUCUCGAGUGGAUGUCGAAGAUGUUCGUAGCACCUCUUCAUCUUCUCCUGCUACGCAACGACUCGACAUAGAGAACUUAGGCAAGAAUUUAGAGAAGGUUAAUGACGCAAAUUCAACUUUUCCUACUACUCCAAUUAAAGUAAGUACCCACUAUGAAGGUAGUGGCUCUGGCCACACUUCAUCAAUGAAGAGGCCUCGAGUGUCACCACCAAAUCCUACACUAACUUCAAACCGUCGCCGAAAAGAUGACGGACGAGCGCAAGCAAUUUAUGAGCUCGUUGAAUUGGGAAAAAAAACAGAAAUUGCACAAGCAAUAAUGGAACGUGAGUUACAACCCGGCCAAAAAUUCACUCCACAGGGGAGUGUAUGGAAAGGCUCACCACUGUUGCUCACUUGACUCCUAAUGGUUUACUUGCUGUGUGUGAGGCUCUAAAAGAUGAGCGCAAUAGGCCUAUUUUUAUUAAAUUAACUAGCGAUCUGUUGUGCAUGUGGAUAGAUCGUCAAAUCGCCAUGUAGCAGAUUUAUGCUGGACAAAGGCCUAUUGCACCAUGAUAUGCACCUAUUACACCCUUUUUCACAGCAGCAUCUUCAUCCUUUACUCCUAGACCAUUUUCAGCCUUUCCACCUACAACUGCGGCUUUCCCGCUUGACACGCCCACUUUCCUCCUACAGGACCUUCUGUCCCUUCUAAUUUACCAUCUUUUUUGUCGGAAAGGCCAUCUUUCCUGCCUAAUUAAGUAUGCAUGGAUAGGUGAAGAACAAUUGCCUUUUUUGUGGUUUGGCACUUCCUGGUAGUGCUCUUUAGUACUAAUUAAGUAAGCACUUAUUAUCGAUUUUCUUUGCAUGAUGGCCAGAGAUGUUGCAUGUAUUAACUCAUGUACUCUCUCUUUUACACGUACUGUAUGCUUUUAUAUUAUCUUCUAUUUUUAGUUCCAACUGUAUGUCAACUAUGAAGGACUUGUAGGGUGAUCCAUGUUUUUCAACCUGUAUAAAUGUUACUCUUCUCAACUUGCUUCUUCACAGCAUUUUAUUUGCAGGUCUCUAAUUUAGCAAUGAUGAGCACAAGAGUAGACUGGCAUGAAUGGUAUAAGUUUGCUUCUUUGAGGAUUAAUUGGUUAAAGUUCCUAUAUAUAAGCUCGCUUCUACUCUACUUGCAAUCUGCAUGUUACUAGCCCUGACAGUGAUGACAAAAUGAGUAGCAGGCUUGAAUGGUUGGGGGGCAUUAGGUAUCCUAAUGCAGCCACCUUUCAGACUUGUAGCCUUUAUAAUCUGAGCCAACACAACCAGGUUCUGCUCCAGCAUGUAAUUUGUCACUUAGUCUCUUCAAAUCUCCAGUUAUGUGGUUCAAUAAAUAUUAUUCAAGGUAAGUGCGAGUUGCAAGUUUCAUAUUACAUGAUUUCAGAAGUUUGUUUCUGGAGUUGUAGUAUACUACUUUCCAACUAAAUAAAUUGGUCCAUGGUAUACAGAAAGUUGGCUUUCUCUUCUUUAUCAGGCUUGCAGUUUUAUUUUACAGUGAGGAUUAUAGGUUAACUAAUUAUUUCAUGUCUCUUUUGUCUUGCUUUCAUAUUCGUUCAUAUCUUUUGUUUAUAUAAAUGCAAGUGAAAAUGCAUACCUGGCCAACUAAUUACUUGACAUUGAUUUGUUUACGUUAGUUAUUGCAUCUGCAAUAGUGGAACUUCGAUUGUUUGCCUUACUUCUGUUAACUGUUGGGUUGUACCAUAGUUUUGGCUUCUUAUUUCUAUAUAACCUAAAUCUUUCCAUUCAUGGCCACGUAUAAAAGGUAAUGUAGUUUUACCAAAGUGGGUGAUUAUUUGGUUCAAGUUGACUAUGUAUAAGCUUGCUUCUUCUCAACUUGUAAUACGCACCUUACUCGCUCUGGCAAUGAUGAAUAAAAGAACAAUGGACUUGAAUGGUUUGGGGUGCAAUAGGUAACCUAUUGCAGCCACCGUUCAGACUUGGGCCCUUUGUUACCUGAGCCAACAUAUGAUUGUUCUGCUUCAGUAUGUAUCAAUCUCCAACUCUCUUAGGUAUUGGGUUCAAUGGAUAUUACUCAAGGUAAGUGACAGUUACAAGUUUCCUGUAACAUGAUUUCAAAAGUUUGUUUUUGUGAAGUUGUAGUAAAAUAUUUUCGAACUUAAUCACUUGGUCCAUGAUUUACCAAAAGUGGCUUUUCUCUUCUUUAUCACGCUUGCAGUUUUAUUUUAUAUUAAUUAUUUCAUUUCCCUUGUAGCAUGCUUUGAUAUUUGUUCAGAUCUUUUGUUUACAUACGUGCUUGUGAAAGUGCAACCCUAUGCAACUAGUUACUUGAUAUUUGUUUCUUUACCUCGGUUAUUGCAACUGCUACUGUGGUAUUUCAAUUGUUUUCAUACUUUUGUUCAUUGUUGGUUCUACCAUAGUAGCCACAGUUCUGAUUCCUAUAUAGCCUGAAUCUUUUGAUUCAUGGCCAUCUAUAAAAGGUAUUAUAGCUUUAAAAAAUUGAGGAUUAAUUGGUUAAAGUUGCUAUGUAUGACUUUGCGUCUUCUCAACUUGUAAUCUGCGUGUUACUCGCUCCGGCAAUGAUGAACUAAAGAGCAGCAGUCGUGAAUGGUUGGGGGGCAGUGGGAAACCUCUUGCAGCCAUCAUUCAUACUUGUGCUCUUUAUGACCUGAGCCAACACAUGUUUGAGCUGCUUCCAAGGUGAAUGAUACUCGAGAUGAGGAUAGCUACAGGUUGCAUAUUUUAUGCUAAGCAGUUAACUUCAUUUUGCUACCAACUUCAUUUAAUGCUUUGCAAGCUACUUCAUUUUGCUAGCAACUUGUAGCUUUCUCAAACGGGCAAUGAUGAGCAAGCAAACAGAUGCGUGAAUGGUAGGGGGCAAUACAUGCUGUAUUGCAGCCACCAUGCACGUGUGACUUCAAUUCGUCCUGAGCCAACACAUGUUAAUAACUGUACAGUUUACUUAUAAUUGUACCUCCAAGUAAGCUUGAGCUCACUUUUCGACCUGUGUCUAUGUUAUAAUUCUUGCCAUAUUUGAAGUUCUUAAGCUCAAGUUAUUGAGUAUCUAUAUCUUACAUCAGAGUGUUGUGCUUCAUCUUUUCGGCGAUGAUGAUAUGUAGGGCUCUAGGCAUGCAUAGUAGGGAGGCGUGGAUAAAGACCACUGCAACCACCUUGCAUACUCUUCUGCCUUACUAUCUGAGCCAAUAGAUAUCAAUCUUUAGCUAUUAUUGGGUUAUAAAAGUUUCAUUUGAUCCAAAUGCAGUUAUGGCUGAAGCAAUCAAUCGGCGAGUUUUUUCUUCAACACUUGUUGCCGAUCUCAUGACAUUCUUAGACGAGGAAGAAGACUAUUGGGAAUAAGUGCAUGCCUUACUUAUUGAAGAGGGGGACUUUCCAUUCCACAACACAAUUUAUAGACGGCCUUGUCGAACUCAGCCAUUCACUGGUUAUGAGCUAAUUCAUGACAUAUUGAGUGGACAUCCUGAUAGAGGUUAUCAACAUUUCAGGAUGACCACUACUAUGUUUACAAGACUUCGAGAUGAACUAGUUGGAAGGGGUUUUAUACAAAACACUAGGCAUUUAACUGCUGACGAGCAGCUUGGUAUAUUUCUAUUUGGUACAGGUCAUGCCGUGGCUAAUAGAAUUUUAGCUGAAACUUUUCAACAUUCAGGAGAAACGAUUAGUAGGCAUUUUAAUAAUGUACUGCGCGGCGUGGUUGAACAUAGACAUAACUACAUCCAACUCCCACUAUCAAAUACGGGAGUACACCCUAGAAUAAAAGAUAAUUCAAUAUUUCAUCCAUUCAAGGUGAGUACAUUAGUAUUUGUUAAAACUUUGUGGAAACAAAAUUUGUAAUCUUCGAAGUUAUGAGAUAUUUGAUGCUUACUUUGUUAUUUGACUUUUGAAUUCAGAAUGCAAUUGGUGCAGUAGAUGGGACAUCCAUAUCGGUGGUUGCACAGAAGACUAAGCAGCCAAGAUAUCAGCGUCAACAAGGAUUUACUUCUCAGAACAUGAUGGCCGCAUGUUCGUUUGACCACCAGUUUCUAUUUGUGUGCACCGGGUGGAAGGGUUCUGCAACUGAUAUGAGAGUACUGCGAUGGUGUUGCGAGAGUGGCGGUUUCACAGUACCGGAAGGUAACUUAUCAUUUGCAAGUUUAUGUGUGAUAUAGCUUUCAUUGUUCUAAUUUUCAUAAAGCUUUAUAUUGUGUAGGAAAAUAUUAUCUCGUCGAUUCAGGAUAUGCAAAUACUUAUCGCUUCCUCGCACCCUAUCGAGGGGAACGAUAUCACUUGAGCCAAUUUGAUGUAAACGCACAGACGCGAAGACAUCAAGGACCUCGAGAUUUAUAUAAUCAUCGUCAUGCUCAAUUGCGAAACAUAGUUGAGAGCAAGGUUUUAAGUGCCCAUCGGCACGCACCGUAUCCACCGUACCGUACCGUGCCAACAAGAUACCGGCACGAUACAGACCCCGUGCCGAUGGCACAGCUCAAAACCCUUUAUUCUUUAAAUUAGUAAGUAAUUUCCUCAAUAAAGUUCAAAAGAUGUGAUAAAAAGACAACAAAUAGUUAGAAUAUUUUGUUGCUAAAGAAAAUAAAUAUUUUAUGCUAUUAUGUGUCGGCACACAAGAUUUUUUUGACCGGCACUCAUCGGCACGGCUCGGCACGCACCGUACCGUACCGUGCCGGCAAGUUUCCGACACAACCCCGUGCCACGGCACUUAAAUUCUUGGUUGAGAGAGCCUUUGGAAUCCUGAAGAGGCGGUGCAAGGCGCUCCGACAAGCAACACCCUUUCCCUACAAGGCGCAAUGUCGCAUUGCCCUCGCAUGUUGCGUCAUACACAAUUUCAUCAAGAGGCAACAAGGGACCGAUAGGUACUUCAACAUGCAAAUGGACCCAUUGCCGACGGACGACCAACUUGAUGAAUCAUCACCUCCUACCCAGACGAGUCUCGGAGAGGAGACGCUCUUCGCACCAUGAUAACAGAUCAACUUUGGAACAAUAUAUAGGAGGAAAUAUUGAAAAUGAUGUAAAUUCGUUUUUUAGUUCAUGCUUUGCAUAUGCUGUAUCAACUUAUGUCUCGUGUCUUCAUCUUGAAUUUAUUUCGUGCUAUUUUCCAAAAUGUUGUAAUUGGAUGUUAUCUUAUGUUCGCAAUGAUUACUUUUAGUCCAAAAUUGCUCUGAUUUAGUUUAAUAUAGAAACUUUGUUUUAGUCAAUUGUUGUGUUUGAUAGUUGCAAUUGUUAAAUAAAAUUUCUUCUCUUCAUUAGUUUUUGCAAACUGAUUGUAUUAAAAGAUUUUAAAUGAGUAUUCUACUUUUUUAUAUUGUUGAAUAACAUCUAUACCUAUACAUUAAUCCCCAAAAGAACAUGCCACGUGGCUGUGUUUCCUUUAUUUUUAGGCUUCACAUUGCGAAACCAACCUUUCGCCUUCCCUCCACCCAUAACGGUUCACCCACCUUAACCCAACCCUUCGCCUUCCCUCCACCCAUAACAUCUAAUUACUGGUCCACCCACCUUAACCCAACCCUACGCCUUCUCUCCGCACAUAACGUCUAAUUAAUGGUCCAUUCAUCUUAACCCUAAUCUAAACAAUAGAUAGUAGAAACCCACGAAAAGCCCCCUUCUCUCCCUUCUCUAUUUUCUCUUCCUCCUCCAUGAGCUUCGAGGCCAAAAUCGAGCACGUUCUGUGGACGAAAUAUGAGUUUGCAUACUGCAUUGCCGAGCUUGGCGCUGCUAUCUUCAUCAAAUCGAGGUUUCCUCCAAAUUUUAGGAGUUAUUUUAAAAGAUUUAUAUAUUCUUUAUAUUGUAGCGUUGAAAUUUCUUAGGUAGCUUUAUUCAGUUUUUUCAAGUUCUUUUUAUUUGCGUGGUAUUCGAACUGAUGUGUUUGUUGUGUUGAAGGUUUAUUACUUCUUCUUUUUCUAUCAUUUGUUCUUUAUAUUUUUUUCUUGAAAUAAAAUUCUGUAUUAUAUUUGCUGUAUUAGGUUGUGUUAGGUUAUAUAUCUUUUUUUAAAUAUUUAUUAUAUAACUUUUCAUAUGCUUAUUUUUUUCUACUUUCAUGACUCUUUUUAUUAACUAAUAUAAAAAUGUUUACAAAAUUAGAUUGAUAUAUGAUUUAAAAAGGUCUUCAUUUUCUUGAAGGGAUGAGUAUCAUAGCUUAUAUAAAAAAUGAAGGGAUAAAUAUAUAACUUAUACAAAAAAGUUUAACCUUUUGAUUGUUUUGAUUUGAUUUAUAAAAUAUUAAUUUUUAUUGAAUUUUUUAUCUAAAUCUCUCCCAAAUAGUAUGUCGUUUUUCCACUAUGAGCAUUUUGUUACUAAUCGGCUUCAGCAAAUUAAUAUACUUUUGCAAGAAGCCAAUAUGUUUGGACUAUUUUGAUUUUGAAAAUAAUAGCAAAUUUUUGAUAUAUUAGUUAGAUAUUAAAUUUAUUUUAGUAGUAUGUACCCGCCGCAAAGCGCGGGUUACUACACUAGUAAUUACAAAGUUUCUUCUACACUGUUACAACUUUGCUACAAUUAAAAAGCUGAAUUGAUUUGCCAUAAUUCUUAAUUUCAUUAUCUACUGUUCAGAUAUUGUAACAACCAGAAUUUAAAAUAUAAACAAAUAAAAUUAACAUAACAUUAAAACCAAUUAAAUAAAAUAAUUUAUCAAAUGUUCUAUUAUUGAGUACCCACAUGUAGUUGAUUGUGUUUUAUUAACCAUAUAUAUGAAAGAGUAACAAGGGCAAAUCAGGUAUUUCAAAAAUUUAACCUUCAACUUUUCACUAUUCUCAACUAUUCCAAAAAAUUAACCAAACACAAUUUCAGCUAUUCCUAAGAAUACCAGCUUUACCAACCAAAUGGAAUUUACAUUUUAUUCCUGACUAUCCCGGAAUAACAAGCUAUCCUAGGGUUAAAAAAAUUUAUCCCAACGUUCUUAUCCGCGAACCAAACAGAGCCUAAAAGAAAAAGACAAUAGCAUGACAAAUGAUAGACAUCAACCAAGAAAUUCUCCAAUAGCUAUUGUUAUUAUGUGGAGUUACUUGCAACAGCAACUUAUUUGAGUAAUACUAGAGCACCAAUGAAACAAUCUCCUCGACUUCUUCUACCAUCGUUAGCGCUAAUUAGUCAGUUUACGACGAACUGCCUAUUACAGUACUGAGCUAACCAUCAUAAAAGCUACAGAGCAUAUUCAAUCACUUGCAAAAGCAUAAAAGUCGAUACUUGAUGGGUGUAAUUAAAGGUUAGACAGAAAUAUUUAGAAAUCUUCCAGUGAUUGUUGUCGUCAAGAAUGGGUAUAUCUGGCACACUGAUGAUUAUAAUAAUGCACACUAUUUAUCAGUAGAAUGCUUGUAUAUUACUAUAUAAAGAAGCGAAGAGAUGCUUAGGAUAGAUUGAAUAGCUCUAGAAACGAAUGGAUAAGAUCAAACUGAAAACAGAUAGAUUGUUCAAGUUAUACAGUUAGUUAUGGACCAAAAUUGCUGAAAGAAAGUUAUACAGUGAUUAAGAAAGAAAAUUUGAUCAUUUGAAGUUUGAACUAUCUAGGAUUGACUCAACUUCCAGGCACAAAAAGAUAAAUUAAAAUCAAAUCUUUGAUGUGAAGUAACGCUGCAUCUAUGCACCCUGAAUGAUACAUUCAAUAUACAAAAAAUAGCAUCAAAAUUCAGAGAAAACAUUACAUAAAUUUGCUAACAUCAUGUAAUAAAACAUUUUUGGCACUUUCAAUCUUGAUAUGCUUAGAUUUUAACAAACAAGUGUCAUAAAUGCAAUUCAACAUAGCAUCAAUAGUUCAAUAAUCUUACCUUACAAAUUAGUUCCCCUUGGAAACCACCAGCUACCAACAAACCAUCCUUGACGGCAAGGGUACUUAAUUGGGUUCCUGUAAAUCCUUCUGCCAAACUCCCAGGAUGUUUCUGCAAACCCAACAAAGCUGUAAGUAAUACUAUCACAAAGUAAACAGAAAAAAGAAAUGUCUAGAGGUUGGAAAAAAAAAAAAACAAAACAAAAGGGAAAGAAAAGGAAAUUAAAUGAAUAAUCAAACAAGAAAUGAUUGCCUAGAGAAAAGAAAUAGAAGGAAACCUCCGUAGGAGCCACAUGUCCCGAAAAAUCAAGAAUUUCUGACAUAUUGCGAGAUAGUGAUGACCAAUGAACAACUGAGGAAUUCGACAUAAAAUAUACAUCAUGCUUUGAGGUUGCCCAUACCAAGUUCCUUAGCUACAGAAGAAAUAAAUAAUCAGUUUCUGGCAAAGUAAUAGACUUCACAUGAGAAACAAAGCAAAAUCAUUACAAUUAGUAAGGACAACAAGCAUACCUUCCAUAUUCAUUACCAAACCAUAUAGAAACUAAAGCUGAAAGCAAAGAUUUCUAAAUCACCAGAACUAGCAGUAUUCCACACAAAACUCAUCAGUCUUCAAUUCCUAUUUCAAGCUAGCUAAUAGGAGCAAGUAAAUUUUCUGAAAUUCAGGUUUUCCCCCUAAAUAGACAUGAAAAUUAAUAUAGGAAAAGGUUAAGCAGCUACAACAGGCAAUAGUUCGACCGGUUGGGCAAUUUAACAGUUUAAACUAAUAUGCUAUGCAUACAAUUUGAAUCCAAUAAAAUACGAGUACCAUCCUAUAGAUCAAGUUAUAAGAGGAUGUUCGAAGCAUUAAAGGUAACUCAUCCUAUGUAAUCAUCUUAUAAUAACUUGAGAAUCUUUCUCCAAGUCAUUUGACCAAUCCCCAUAGUUGUAGUUUUUCAUAGCAAGAAUAGCCUGUUGCAGGUUCGAAGCUCUUUUUAACAAUUUCUUGUAAGAUCUUUGUUCAGGAUUGGCUUGCUUUGCUCUCAACGAAGUUCGAAGUGCAUAGAUCUUCUUAGGUGAGAAAAUGACAAGCAUUAGUAGAUGACUUACAUAUUCUCGGUACAUCUACGUCCAUGUUGGACAGCACAUAAGCUAUCCGCCUGCAUUGUUCAAUAUGAAUCCUAUUUGAUGUUUAGUUUGAACUUAAAAAGAAUUGAGAUCUAAGGGUAACUUUUCACCUUAUUAGGCUCCAUGGGAAAACCAGAAACCCAUCAUAAGGUCUUCAUAUGGAAAAAAAAAAAAAAAGAAGGAAGUUUUCUUUAAUGGCUUGUUUUGUAGUAAAAAUUAUUACCAUUUCAAAAAAUAUAGUAAGCUUCUUUAAUGGCUAGUUUCAUAGUACGAAUUAUUUACCGUAACCAAUUAAAUUAAUCCAAUGGCCUUAUAAGGAGAUCGAUUUGUCUACUAAUGAAGCUUCUCCAUAUACUGUAGAAAUCGAAGAGGAAAAACAAACUAAGGCAACAUCCAUAAAACUCUCAACAAUUUUAGAGCAAUAAGAAAUCAGGGCAACAAGCACGGUAAAUCUCCAAAAGUGGCUAAUGUAUAAUGAAAUUUUGCGCCCAACGAGAAAAGAGUUAACAACUUGAUCAUGCAGUACAUGCAUGCAGAUCACAAACAAGCAAACAAAAAAGCCUCGCAGACCUGAAAGUGAAGAAUAAUGGGUUUCACCAUCCUUGAAUUGUAUAGGAACUCAUAAUAAUUGCCGCCUUUCUCCACUUGCUUGCAUUUCUACAUAGAACGAAAGAGCGCUCAAUUAACCAACAAUCAACCGAACGAUCAUUACAAAAUUACGUUUACUGAAUAAAAACCUUCUCCAUAAGCUCGCCGGAAGACAGAACGUUCUCGUAGUUCUUGUACAGCUCUAUACGCGUCUGUCUGUAGCUCUGCCUCGAUAUCUGUAACGUCUCCCAAGGGAUGCCUUGGAUAUCCUUCCCCUUCCGAGCUUCUGCCGCCGAUGUAUCCGUCCUCCUAGUGAGCUGCAAGCAGAGUUUACAGCAAUUCGUCACCCCCAUUACCUACUUCCGGAAACAGCUAGCAGCAGCAGGUAAACUAAUGCCAUGCCGCACGCACAACAUCAUCGUUAGAUCGACCGACGACGAAGAAGAAGAAGAAGAGCGCUAUUCGACUGCCGUAAUACGUUUCUUUAAGCUCAAAUUCUACGCAAUUCAACAGGCCGGCAAAUGGCGUCGCGGGCUAACGUUUUAAGUAGCAAGAACAUGGAAGUCCAUCUCGCACAGAAUUCGAAUUUAAACACGGCAUAAUGGAAUGUUAAGAAAAGGGGAAAUGGAAACCAACCAGAGCGUACUCAUCAUCUGCGUCAUCACCCCCGCCUCCGCCCCCAUCAAAGAACUCUCCGCCCAUCUCAUCCUCCACCGCAAAUCCGGCGUCGUCCGAGUAGUCGACGGCAUCGUCCUCAUCAUCGUCAAAAUAAUAAUCUCCAUUAAUCGACAUCCUCCUCCUCCUCCUCCUCCUCCUCCUGCUCAGCAAGUGACUAUCCUUCAGCAAAUCUGAAAGCGUACUAAUUUUCGGAUUCAAAAUUAUUAUUUAAAAAAAAAAGAGAAAUUUGUGAAAAAUCCUAAACGUACGCAACAAUUAAGAGGAGGAGGAAAAAAAAGAGGAAAAAAAAAAAAAACCGGUUUAUCCUAGAGUGAGCACCGCCGCCGCCGCGUCAAGCAGAAACUUCUAGUUGAGGUAGAUGAGUAGAAUUUUAAAAGGAAAAAAAAAAAAAAAAAGUGAAGAAGAAGAAGAAGAAGAAGGAGAAGGCGGUUUCGUAGGCGGUCUUCUUCUUUGGGAAGGCUGUUAUGAGGAUUUGGUGGGCUGUCUGCCUUCUCGCGCACGGAGGAUACGAGCAGAAAGCCGACUACUCGUUUUUGGUGUGAGGGGGGGGGGUCGGCGGAGAGGGUCUUUGAUUUUAUUUUAUUUUAUUUUGUUUUGUUUUAUUAUAUUUUGAGUUUAUCUCUCGCCCCUUCUGCAACCGCCUUUGCGUCCGAGCGCAUGGUGGGAGGCGAGCACAGCGCCACUCUCUUGUCGUCCCCUGGCCCUGAGAUAAACUCUUCGCCAGCACAUGGCCCACCCCUCUUUCUUUUUCUUGAAUUAAUUUAAUGCACUAAGAGACCCGCGCGAUGCAGCGGGUAGAUAAUAAAAAUAAAAUUUAAAAAUUUUAAUAAAUUUUAUAUUUACGAUUUAUUGAUAUAUAGAAAGCUAUAACAUAUUAAGUACAGUUAAUUUGUAUGACUAAAUUUACAUAGUAAGCAGAGGCCCCCGUGCGGACCGACUCAGCGAGCACUUAUAUAGGUCGCGGCUCGGCUUCGCAGGACGAUGCUUCUUGAAGGAGACAAUAUUCUUCAAAGGCUCUUCUUCUUCUUCUUCUUCUUCUUCUUCUUUGUUAACACAAUGAGAGAAAGAGGGAGAUGAGUGUGGAGUAGGAGAUUAGACGAUGAUAUUUUUUUAUGGUGCAUGUAAAAGAGUUACAAAAAAGAGGGGGUAGGAGAUUAAUUAAUGGAGGAGGGGAGUGGUGCAUGUAAAAUAAUUAUAAAAGAGAGGGAGUGGAAGAUUAAUGGAGGAGGAAAGUGGUUAAAGUUAUAAAAUAGAAUCUUAAUAUGGUGCAUGUAAUUAAAUAUUGCAUGUAAUUAGAGUAAUGAUGAGGUGAGUUAGGCGUUAAGAAAAGAAGAAGGUGGUUUGAUUUAAAGUUGGAUUUAAAGUUACAUAUAAUUAAAUGUUGUAACUUACAUAUAAUUAGAGUGGGGAGGUGAAGAAUUGAGAGUUGAAAAGAGGAGAAGGUGGUUUGAUUUAAAGUUGGCUAUGAGAAGUAAGAAUAACAUGCCACGUGGCAAAAAGUAUUGUGGCUUCAUAUAGGUUUAUAGAUAAUAUAAUAAAUUAUAAAUAUAUUUUUAUAAAAUUUAACUUUUAUAUAUUGUUUAUAUAAAAAUUCUAAUAUUUUUAAAUAUGUCAUUCUGGCUUAUUAUUAUUAAAGCACUGUUUAGUUUAGCCAUCACAAAUAUAUCCCUUUUUAAUUGAAGAGGAAUAAAAAUGUUAAUUCACCGUAUUAAUGAACUAGGGUUAAUUAAUUUUUUCUAACGAAUUUUAAUAAUACGGACAUAUUUGAAAAUAUCAGGACUUUUGCAAAGACAGCAUAUGAAAGAUAAACUUUAUAGGGAUACAUUUGUAAUUCACUAUAUUUGUAGGGACAUGUACGAUUUUAACCUUUUUUUUUAAUAUAAAAUUUCUAUAUGACUAAAUUACAAAAAAAAAAAAGAAACUUCUGUAUAAAUAUUUUUAUUUGCACUUUUUUUCUAACUUUUAAAAAUCUAUAUUUUACCUCAUUAAUAUUUCAAGUUGUUGCAUUUAGCCUCCCUCCGUCAGGGUUCCAUCACUAUUUCUGUCAUUUCUUAUAAUUUAUGGUUAAUUUCAUACAGGUCCUUGCAAAUAUAGUGUAUAACAUGUAUAUUCCUAUAAAGUUCAACUUUCAUAAGUUACUCCCGCAAAAAUCCUAAUGUAUUCAGAUAUAUCCCUACCGUUAAUAGCCGUUAGAAAAAUCUAUUUAACCACAGUUAUAAUACUUAACCAUAAUUAAUUAAUAAUGUGAAUUGAUAUUUUUGCCCUUGUUCUUCUUCCUCUUCCUCUUCCUCUUCUUCUUCUUCUCCUGCUUCUUCUUCUUACUCUUCUUCUCUAUAUCCUCCUUUCCUCCUUUUCUCUUCAUUCUUCUUCUUCUUCUUCUUCUUCUUCUUCUUCAUCGUCGUUAUCGAUGAUCCGAUCGUCGUCGUCGUCGUGGUGCCCGCAUGGGCCAUCGUCACGGGCGCCUCCGACGGCAUCGGCCACACCUUCACCUUCGCCUUCCGCAUCUUCCUCGUCCUCAUUGGCUGCAACCCCGACAAGCUCCGCAAGGUCGCCACCGCCGCCACCUCCGUCGUCCGCUCCCGCAGCCUGAAGAGGAAGAGGAAGAGGACGAUGGCAAGGGCAAAAGUGUCAUUUCACAACUCUACUGUUAAAAAAUUAAUUGUUCUUUAACAGAUACUUACCGAAGGGACAUAUCUGAAUACAUUAGGACUUUUGCAGGAUAACUUAUGAAAGUUGAACUUUGUAGGGAUAUAUCUACUAUCCACCAUGUUUGGGGGGACCUGUAUGAAAUUAACCUUAUAAUUUAUACCAAAAAUAUUCUUUAACGUGACAUAUAUACAUUAAAAAAUUAUUUUUUUCUUAUAAAAAAAUAAAGAUAAUUUGGUUAUAUUGCACUCUCUAUUAACGUCGUAGCUCUCUGAAAAUAUUUUUAAAAAUUUAAUAGGUAAAAUAUUGAUUUUUUAAAAGUCAAAAAAAAAAGAUAUUUAUAGGGAGGUUUUUGAAAUUUAACUUUUCUGCAUGAUAUGAUAUUAUGCUGCAG